Molecule: ribosomal RNA, 460 nt
Filed under: uncultured bacterium
Lineage: Bacteria
Description: partial 16S ribosomal RNA
Rfam family: Bacterial small subunit ribosomal RNA
Source: RNAcentral
ACUACGGGGGGCAGCAGUGAGGAAUAUUGGUCAAUGGGCGCGAGCCUGAACCAGCCAAGUAGCGUGAAGGAAGACUGCCCUACGGGUUGUAAACUUCUUUUAUAAAGGAAUAAAGUGAGGCACGUGUGCCUUUUUGUAUGUACUUUAUGAAUAAGGAUCGGCUAACUCCGUGCCAGCAGCCGCGGUAAUACGGAGGAUCAGAGCGUUAACCGGAUUUAUUGGGUGUCAAGGGAGCGUAGUUGGGUUGUUAAGUCAGUGGUGAAAGUUUGGGGCUCAACCUUAAAUUUGCAAUUGAUACUUGCAGUCCUGGGUGUGGUUGAGGUAGGCGGAAUGCGUGGUGUAGCGGUGAAAUGCUUAGAUAUCACGCAGAACUCCGAUUGCGAAGGCAGCUUACUAACCUGCCACUGACAUUGAUGCUCGAAAGUGUGGGUAUCAAACAGGAUUAGAUACCCCUGUAGUC